UACGUAGGGUGCGAGCGUUAAUCGGAAUUACUGGGCGUAAAGUGUGCGCAGGCGGCCGCGCAAGUCGAGUGUGAAAGCCCCGGGCUUAACUUGGGAAUUGCGCUCGAAACUACGUGGCUGGAGUGUGGCAGAGGAAGGUGGAAUUCCAGGUGUAGCGGUGAAAUGCGUAGAGAUCUGGAGGAACACCGGUGGCGAAGGCGGCAUUCUGGACCGAUAUUGACGCUGAGGAGCGAAAGCCAGGGGAGCAAACGGG
Molecule: ribosomal RNA, 253 nt
Filed under: uncultured bacterium
Lineage: Bacteria
Description: partial 16S ribosomal RNA
Rfam family: Bacterial small subunit ribosomal RNA
Source: RNAcentral